AGAUUAUUUAAAAAAUAAAAUAAUUAUUGUCGGUCUUAAAAAAAAUAAAAAUAAAAAGUGGGUUUAUUUGUAUUACACAGUUAAUUGCUUCGCAGUGGGAAGGUCACUUUAAACCAAUGGUGAGAGUUCUGCUUUAAAAUCGUGCUCGUUACCCCGCUAAUCAUUAAAAGUAGUUGGUUAUGCUUGGAUUUCACCACUUGUUGACAGCAUUUUCAGCCGAUCGGAGCCUUUACAACGCCGCUUAAUUUCUCACGCUUUCGCACUGCUGGCAUGAGGCGCAGAAACAAGCAAACGAGACGCCGUCAUUCCGCGAAACAUUUGCGCACGGGUGGAAUCUAGGGAGUACUUGUUGCGAGCCAUACGGCGGAGGCAGCGUCCCGGAGCUGUCAAAUACUGCGCACAACCUUGAGUCUUCAGUGGAAUAACCAGACUAAUCCAUCAGACCAGCAGCUCAGAAGAUUAACCUUUUUUUCCUUCCUUUUAAUUUUAUUCUAUUUUAUUAUUUUUAAUUUUUUAGCUUCGGAAAAGUAGUUUUUGUCCGCGAAACCGGAAACCUGAUUUUAAAAUCACGAUCUUUUUUUCUCUCGCUUUUUUUGUCACAUGGCUUUGGAGAAUUCAAUAACAACAAAAAAUGGCGACAAUCACGUUGCUCUGUGUGGUCUUGCUGCGUCAUUAAAAAUAUUCAUGUAAACACGGGGCGUUAAACAGGGGGAUUGCAGUGCCCCUGUGCAGUGGGGCUAAUGGAGUUGUUUACAUGAAGUACGGAGGGCGGGCAGACGACGAGGAGGAGGAGCAGCUACGGCCAGCGACGCGACCGGACUGCUCGAGAGGCUUCUCGCGCCGCGCGCGCGGGGGAGGGAGGGGGAAGGGGAGGAACCCGCGAGGAGAAUCAUAACAAGUCUGACAUCACUCGGCCUUGUGCUGGUACGAAUAGCCUAUGUACAGUAGGCAGUUUGUGUCGAAGAAGUCAUGGCGGGAAGGCGGUGAGGGAGUGCAGUGUUGUUGUUUCAAGAUGGGAAACGUUAGCUAGCCUUUGUGUGUGGCAAAUGGAAACAAAGAUGAAAAACCCGAGUGGUUUUGUUUUUUUUAUGUGGAACGAGGACUACGACUAACUAAGCGGAUCAAACCGCAUGCGCAGUCUUGUGCAUGAUUAAUUGCCCCCGCCCCCUUUUCAAGGCAGGUAAAACCCCUGUGAAAAAAAAUCGUCUUUCCUUCUUUUCACAGCUUUCCACCGAGGCACCCGUGACUCUCACUGUGCAGCUCUCAUACCUGAGCAAGGAAAAAAGGGUGUAGAAACAUUAUUAGGAUAUAGCUUAAUGCAUCGAUAAGUGAGGGGCAUUAGUUUGAUUGUGCAGGUGGUAAAAAACAAAAAAGCCUGAAUAAACUGACACACUACUGUAGCAUCAUCUGGCUCUCAGAUGGAUUUCAUACAGAAGACGCCUGGAUGAGGAGGAUCCUGUGACUGUAACUGUCUGCAACUUUACACAUGGUCCAGAUAUUUGUUUCUCUUAAACAUAUAGGUUGUUUUGUUUGCUUUUCCCCCCUCCCUCUGUCUGACUUUAUUAUUUUACCAGUUUUCUCAUGUUUAGAGAGCUGAAGACCAUUGGUGUAAAGGACACUUUAUAAAUAUCACAUGUUGCGUUACAUGGUUGUUAGUGUGUAAAUGAAAGGUUAUUUCAAGUGAUUCAUUUGUAAGCAAAAGAAAUUUGCAAAACUUGCUUUGCAUGAGGAGAAAACGAGCUGCAAAAAAUGCAAAUGGAAUGUUAUCUUUGCACCUGCUGACCUACAGCAAGGAUUUUAUUGGUGGAUGACAAAGUGGAGUGAAGUCUUGGACUGCUAGAUUUGACAGGCUGCCCUGGUUCAGUUAUCACAGUGCUGAUGCUGUCCCCAUCGAAGGUACAGUACUGUGAUAACUGAAGGAUGGCUGCCAACUUGACACUAGUGCAGUGGUCAAAGUGGCACAUUCGGCUAACGAGGCAGAAGAACCAAAGAGAAGGUGGACAAGUGUGGGUAUGUAAACGGCAUUUGUUGUGAUAUGCUGAGUAAUAAAGUUUGUAAAGGAUG
Long non-coding RNA from Maylandia zebra (zebra mbuna), 2064 nucleotides. RefSeq lists it as uncharacterized. The record is from RefSeq and is a predicted model, not a curated record. Lineage: Eukaryota; Metazoa; Chordata; Actinopteri; Cichliformes; Cichlidae.